AUGGACGUUGACGACGACAUCACUUGGAAAUUUGAGGCAAAUGGAGAAUACUCGGCAGGCUAUGCUUAUAGGGCACAAUUCUUGGGCUCCACCUCCACAAUCAUGAACAAGACCGUCUGGAAGGUUUGAGCGCCUCCCAAGGUCAAGUUCUUCUCAUGGUUGGACAUCCAAAACAGGAUAUGGACUGCGGAUAGGCUGCAGAAGAGGGGUUGGGAGAAUUGUGGCCUAUGUGCCCUUUGCAGGAGGGCCAACGAGACAUCCGGUCACCUCUUCUUUAAAUGCCGGUUUACCCUGCGUAUUUGGAGAAUGGUCAAAGCAUGGCUUGGACUUGGGGCGCUGGAGAUGAAUAGGUGGGGGACGGAACGCAACAUCAAGUGUUGGUGGACAAGCAUGUCCAAACCAAAUACAACAAACAGGAAGGCCAUGGCCUCACUCACCAUGCUUGUAUGUUGGGUCAUCUGGAAUGAGAGAACUAGAGUCUUUCAGAAGAAAUCGACGCCGCCACACUACAUUCUAAAACUCAUCCAGGAGGAGGCCAGGAGGAGGCCAGGACGUGGGUCACCGCGGGGGCUAGACAUCUGA
This 582-nucleotide ribosomal RNA is filed under the name Triticum aestivum (bread wheat). Its description in RNAcentral is "partial small subunit ribosomal RNA". Lineage: Eukaryota; Viridiplantae; Streptophyta; Magnoliopsida; Poales; Poaceae. The record is from RNAcentral.